This 300-nucleotide non-coding RNA is filed under the name Anaerolinea thermophila. RNAcentral describes it as "T-box sequence". It matches the Rfam family "T-box leader". From Rfam's summary of the family: Uncharged tRNA acts as the effector for transcription antitermination of genes in the T-box leader family. Lineage: Bacteria; Bacillati; Chloroflexota; Anaerolineae; Anaerolineales; Anaerolineaceae. The record is from RNAcentral.
CCAAAGACGUUGAAGAGGACGAGUAAGCGCUGCCCCGUCGGCACAGAGAGCAGGGAAGAAGGUGAAAGCCUGCCCGAACCGCGGCGCCGAAUGGACCUCGGAGUUGCAGGGCGAAAGGAAUUUUUUCGAGUAGCCCGCGCCGGAGUUGCCACCGUUAUCCGGGCAAAGGGUAUCGCCUUCGGGCUGUACCCGCAACGAGUGAGGCUGGCUUUCUUUCCCUGUUGUGCAUCACGACAGGGAUUUUCGAUUAAAGCCCCAGCCUAAUCUGGGUGGCACCACGGACCUGCGUUCGUCCCGGAA